Molecule: ribosomal RNA, 640 nt
Filed under: uncultured bacterium
Lineage: Bacteria
Description: bacterial SSU rRNA
Rfam family: Bacterial small subunit ribosomal RNA
Source: RNAcentral
GGACGAACGCUGGCGGCGUGCUUAACACAUGCAAGUCGAACGGAGAAUUUAUUUCGGUAAAUUCUUAGUGGCGAACGGGUGAGAAACGCGUAGGCAACCUGCCCUUUGGAUGGGGACAACAUUCCGAAAGGAGUGCUAAUACCGAAUGUGAUCCAUUUCUCGCAUGAGAGAUGGAUGAAAGAUGGCCUCUAUUUAUAAGCUAUCGCCAAAGGAUGGGCCUGCGUCUGAUUAGUUAGUUGGUGGGGUAACGGCUCACCAAGACGAUGAUCAGUAGCCGGUCUGAGAGGAUGAACGGCCACAUUGGGACUGAGACACGGCCCAAACUCCUACGGGAGGCAGCAGUGGGGAAUCUUCCGCAAUGGACGAAAGUCUGACGGAGCAACGCCGCGUGAGUGAUGAAGGUUUUCGGACUGUAAAACUCUGUUGUCAGGGACGAAGGUGCGAUCUGCGAAUAGUUGAUCGUAUUGACGGUACCUGACGAGGAAGCCACGGCUAACUACGUGCCAGCAGCCGCGGUAAUACGUAGGUGGCAAGCGUUGUCCGGAAUUAUUGGGCGUAAAGAGCAUGUAGGUGGGCUUUUAAGUCCGAUGUGAAAAUGCGGGGCUCAACCCCGUAUGGCAUUGGAUACUGGAAGUCUUGA